AUUCGACAUGAGAUUUGGGAGAUGACACAAAACCAAACCAUAUCAGUCUUUAAAGAGUUAAGUUAAAAUAAGCUCUUUAAAGUGGGCCCUAAUCCAGUAUGACUGGUGUUCUUAUAAGAAGAGGAGAUUUGGUCACAGACAUGGUUGCAUGCAGAAUAAAGACUUUUCGAGGACACACUGAGAAGGCAGCCAUCUGCAAAACAAGGAAAGAGUCCUCAGCAGAAACCAGUCCUGCAGACUCCUUGAUCUUGGACUUCCAGCCACUGCAAUUGAUGUCAAGCUUCAGCACCCUUGCAUCUCUGGAUAAAUGAAAUGUCACCCCAGCUGCCGUCCUUGUUCAGAUCUGUGCAAUAAAGAGCAAAGCAUAAAACCAAGUCAAGGCUUUGAGGGAGUGACCUACAAAAUGCAUAAUGUGAAACAAUGCAAAAGCGAAAGGUGCAAAAUCCCCAUCAAAGAGCUGGAGGCUGACAGAUGCGCCAGUGAUAAUUCCCAUCUUCCAACACAGGAGCACAGCUUCCAUUUUCCAUAACAGAACAACAGCCAGAGCAGCUGGAAGGCAGGGCCGCAUCCCAGACUUCCACCAACAAUGGGAUGAGACUUGACAUCUGGAAUCACAACCACAACAGACCUGAGAGACCCACCAGCUUGAUGACAAGCUUCUUCUUUCAAAGAAAGUUUUAGGCGGUCAUGACCAUGGGAUGCUGGACCAGGAUGGUAAGCUUCAGGAAACAGAAUCUGGAGAAUGCCCAGCUGCUCCCACAGGAAGCAUCAGGGAAGAAGAAGAAGAGGUGUGAAGUCUGCCUUCUGCUCUGCUGGGAUCCCUUUCACAUCUCCUUUGCCUCCAGGCAGUUUUGGUUCCUGGCCAUUUCCAGGUGUGACUCACUCAGGAUGGUAAGCAUCUUCUCUCCUACCCAGAGUAGAGGAUGAAGACCUCAUCUCAGAGGUUGAAGGGAGCUCCAGAGAGAGGUCUCAAACUUCCAGCAUUAACUGCUAAAGAAGCUUCAUGAGCUGCUGGAGAACCUGGGAAAUGACCAAUUAUAGGGACAGAGCUCAAAUACUCUGGGACACUCUAGUAGCUGAGAAAGUUCCAACUCCAGGGUGAUAGAGGACUGCCUGGCAAACCAUCAUCAAAGCAGAAGACCUGAUACUAACAUCACAGGCUAUGGUUUAUUACUGAAGAUCAGUGCUUACACCCUGCCAGAGGUUCAGAAGCAAACUUAUCAUUGUUCUCCCUGGAGAUGUUGGCCCACAUUCUGAAAAGUGUGGUCAGUAGUAGCAACAGAAAGCAAUUGUGCUUGCCAAGCACAAUGUCACUGUCCCCAGCCCUUCCCCCAACACAACCCAGUAGGUGCUUCCUGGCUGCAAACUUGGGAAAGUCACUUGACCUGUCUGAGGUUCCACUUCCUAAUCUGGCCUGGCGAAGAUAAGAAAAACAGUUUAUUUAAAGUGUCUAGCAAAGUGCUUGGACCAAAAUAGGACCUCUGAAAUGGUUAUGGUAGUGCUGUUAAGGUGAUGUUUUAAGUGCUGAUGAGCACAAAGAUGGGUAAGAUAUUCCUUCUGUUAAAAUCUACAGUCUAAUGAGAGAGAACAAGAUGAAUGCACAAUAACUGUCAUUCAGAACAGGAUUAUGAGAAGGUGUGAAUUUCUGUGAAAAAUCAGAACAGGGAGUAAUAUGAUCCCAGGUGAUUGGCAGGGGGUGGGGGUCUGGAUUCAACUGGAGAGGGAGCUGGCAGGGAAGGCUUCCUGGAGGAUGAGAGUUCAACAAGGGGCAGGUGUAGGAUGUGGGUGGCCAAGUGACUGGGCAGAAGGAGCUGCAGAAGUAAGACCCCAAAUCAGGAAGACAAGGGCCUGCUGAGAAACACGAGCUACAAAGUGCAAGUGCAGGAAGAGUUGGGAUGAGAUUAGAAGGGGGUCUGGGGCCAGACUGUGGAAGGCCCAAAUGCCGGGCUAAGGAGUUUGUACUUAAUUCAGUGGUCAACGGGGAGUCAUUGGAGGCUGUUGAGCAGGAGAGUUGCUUUCUUUACAGCUGUGCCAGACUAAAUUAAACCUAAACAGUACUUUAUAGCUGGAAAGGGAAGGCCCAGGAAUAGCUCUUGACUCAGAAACAGGCAUUGGGGAAGGUAAUGAGAAACAGCCGUGACUGAUCAAAGCAGAGAGGUUAAUUAAAUUUGUAAUUAUUGUGAAAGGCCAUUAAAAACCCUAGUUCACUAGAGAUAACUGCUCUAGUGGGGCUUCAAAGACAAACGCUUCUUUUAACCUUGAAUAGGGGGAUGUUUGCUUCUCUGUGGAGGAGAUAUGAUUAAGAUACUUAAUAAAUGGUAGAUAAACAUGCA
This 2333-nucleotide long non-coding RNA is filed under the name Homo sapiens (human). RNAcentral describes it as "non-protein coding LINC02099:11". Lineage: Eukaryota; Metazoa; Chordata; Mammalia; Primates; Hominidae. The record is from RNAcentral.